AACGAACGCUGGCGGCAGGCCUAACACAUGCAAGUCGAACGCGUCCUUCGGGACGGAGUGGCAGACGGGUGAGUAACGCGUGGGAACGUACCCUUUGGUUCGGAACAACAGCGGGAAACUGCUGCUAAUACCGGAUAAGCCCUUCGGGGAAGAUUAUCGCCAGAGGAUCGGCCCGCGUUAGAUUAGCUUGUUGGUGAGGUAAUGGCUCACCAAGGCUACGAUCUAUAGCUGGUCUGAGAGGAUGAUCAGCCACACUGGGACUGAGACACGGCCCAGACUCUUACGGGAGGCAGCAGUGGGGAAUCUUGGACAAUGGGCGAAAGCCUGAUCCAGCCAUGCCGCGUGAAUGAUGAAGGCCCUAGGGUUGUAAAAUUCUUUCGACGGGGGAAGAUAAUGACGGUACCCGUAGAAGAAGCUCCGGCUAACUUCGUGCCAGCAGCCGCGGUAAU
RNAcentral lists this ribosomal RNA (449 nucleotides) under uncultured bacterium. Its description in RNAcentral is "bacterial SSU rRNA". It matches the Rfam family "Bacterial small subunit ribosomal RNA", at positions 29 to 524 of the family's 1533-position model. The record is from RNAcentral.